AAACCAAUCCAGCCUCGUGCUUGGGUCUUGGGCCUUUCGCCUCUGGGCGGGCCUCAAAAUCAGUGGCGGUGCCGUCUGGCUCUAAGCGUAGUAAUACUCCUCGCUAUAGACGUCCGGUGGUGUCUUGCCAGUAACCCUUCUAUUUUUAAAGG
RNAcentral lists this unclassified non-coding RNA (152 nucleotides) under uncultured Helotiales. Its description in RNAcentral is "sequence contains ITS2". The record is from RNAcentral. Lineage: Eukaryota; Fungi; Ascomycota; Leotiomycetes; Helotiales.